CCUACGGGGGGCAGCAGUAGGGAAUCUUCCACAAUGGGCGAAAGCCUGAUGGAGCAACGCCGCGUGGGUGAAGAAGGUCUUCGGAUCGUAAAACUCUGUUGUUAGAGAAGAAAGUGCGUGAGAGUAACUGUUCACGUUUCGACGGUAUCUAACCAGAAAGCCACGGCUAACUACGUGCCAGCAGCCGCGGUAAUACGUAGGUGGCAAGCGUUAUCCGGAUUUAUUGGGCGUAAAGGGAACGCAGGCGGUCUGUUAAGUCUGAUGUGAAAGCCUUCGGCUUAACCGGAGUAGUGCAUUGGAGACUGGGAGACUUGAGUGCAGAAGAGGAGGGUGGAACUCGAGGUGUAGCGGUGAAAUGCGUAGAUAUAUCGAAGAACACCGGUGGCGAAAGCAGCUCUCUGGUCUGUAACUGACGCUGAGGUUCGAAAGCGUGGGUAGCAAACAGGAUUAGAUACCCUUGUAGUC
This 465-nucleotide ribosomal RNA is filed under the name uncultured bacterium. RNAcentral's name for it is "partial 16S ribosomal RNA". It matches the Rfam family "Bacterial small subunit ribosomal RNA", at positions 338 to 795 of the family's 1533-position model. The record is from RNAcentral.